UACGUAGGGGGCAAGCGUUAUCCGGAUUUACUGGGUGUAAAGGGAGCGUAGACGGCAUGGCAAGUCUGAAGUGAAAGCCCGGGGCUCAACCGCGGGACUGCUUUGGAAACUGUUAAGCUGGAGUGCAGGAGAGGUAAGUGGAAUUCCUAGUGUAGCGGUGAAAUGCGUAGAUAUUAGGAGGAACACCAGUGGCGAAGGCGGCUUACUGGACUGUAACUGACGUUGAGGCUCGAAAGCGUG
This 240-nucleotide ribosomal RNA is filed under the name uncultured bacterium. RNAcentral describes it as "partial 16S ribosomal RNA". It matches the Rfam family "Bacterial small subunit ribosomal RNA", at positions 524 to 763 of the family's 1533-position model. The record is from RNAcentral.